This 469-nucleotide ribosomal RNA is filed under the name uncultured bacterium. RNAcentral's name for it is "partial 16S ribosomal RNA". It matches the Rfam family "Bacterial small subunit ribosomal RNA", at positions 28 to 507 of the family's 1533-position model. The record is from RNAcentral.
GAUGAACGCUGGCGGCAUGCCUAACACAUGCAAGUCGGACGGGAAACACGGGAUACGGUGUUUCCAGUGCCGGACGGGGGAGUAACGCGUAAGAACCUGUCCCUGGGAGGGGAACAACAGCUGGAAACGGCUGCUCAUACCCCGCAGGCGGAGGGGCAAAAGGAGGAAUCCGCCCUAGGAGGGGACGCGGUCUGAUUAGCCAGGUGGGGAGGCAAUAGCUUACCAAGUCGAUGAUCAAUAGCUUGUCGGAGAGGAUGAGCAGAGAUACUGGGAGAGGAAGAUGGGCCAGACUGCGACGGGAGGCCGCAGUGGGGAACAAUGGAAGGCGGGAGUAAGGAAGAUUCAGCAAUGCGGGGAAGGUUGACAGAGCAUUGGGACGGGGAAGUAGAAGGAGCAGGGGUCGAGGACAUCUAUUUCAGGCGAAGAAGCAAUGACGGUAUCUGCAGAAUAAGCAUCGGCUAACUCUGUG